This 239-nucleotide unclassified non-coding RNA is filed under the name uncultured fungus. RNAcentral's name for it is "sequence contains ITS2". The stretch from base 1 to 52 matches the Rfam family "5.8S ribosomal RNA", at positions 103 to 154 of the family's 154-position model. The record is from RNAcentral. Lineage: Eukaryota; Fungi.
AACGCACAUUGCGCCCCUUGGUAUUCCGAGGGGCAUGCCUGUUCGAGCGUCAUUAUAACCACUCAAGCCUCGGCUUGGUAUUGGGGUUCGCGGUCUCGCGGCCCUUAAAACUAGUGGCGGUGCCAUCUGGCUCUAAGCGUAGUAAUUCUCUCGCUACAGGGUCUAGGUGGUUACUUGCCAAAACCCCCCUAUUUUCUAUGGUUGACCUCGGAUCAGGUAGGGAUACCCGCUGAACUUAA